AGAGUUUGAUCCUGGCUCAGAGUGAACGCUGGCGGCGUGCUUAACACAUGCAAGUCGAACGAGAACGGGCCUAGCUUGCUAGGCUGUCAGCUAAGUGGCGGACGGGUGAGUAAUGUAUAGUUAAUCUGCCCCCUAGAGAGGGAUAACAGUUGGAAACGACUGCUAAUACCUCAUACUCCUUCUACCUUAAUGGUAGUUGGGAAAUGUCUUUUCGCUAGGGGAUGAGACUAUAUGGUAUCAGGUAGUUGGUGGGGUAAGAGCCCACCAAGCCAAUGACGCCUAGCUGGUCUGAGAGGAUGAUCAGCCACACUGGAACUGAGACACGGCCCAGACUCCUACGGGAGGCAGCAGUGGGGAAUAUUGCACAAUGGGGGAAACCCUGAUGCAGCCAUGCCGCGUGUGUGAAGAAGGCCUUCGGGUUGUAAAGCACUUUCAGCGAGGAGGAAAGGUUAGUAGUUAAUAACUGCUAGCUGUGACGUUACUCGCAGAAGAAGGACCGGCUAACUCCGUGCCAGCAGCCGCGGUAAUACGGAGGGUCCAAGCGUUAAUCGGAAUUACUGGGCGUAAAGCGCGCGUAGGUGGUUUGUUAAGUGGAAUGUGAAAGCCCUGGGCUCAACCUAGGAACUGCAUCCCAAACUGAUAGACUAGAGUACAAUAGAGGGGUGUGGAAUUUCCUGUGUAGCGGUGAAAUGCGUAGAUAUAGGAAGGAACACCAGUGGCGAAGGCAGCUUUCUGGACUAAUACUGACGCUAAGGCGUGAAAGCGUGGGGAGCAAACGGGAUUAGAUACCCCGGUAGUCCACGCCCUAAACGAUGUUCACUAGUCGUCGGGAUGCUAGUCAUCUCGGUGAUGCACUUAACAGAUUAAGUGAACCGCCUGGGGAGUACGGUCGCAAGAUUAAAACUCAAAGGAAUAGACGGGGACCCGCACAAGUGGUGGAGCAUGUGGUUUAAUUCGAAGAUACGCGAAGAACCUUACCUAGCCUUGACAUUGAUUGAACGGACCAGAGAUGGACCGGUGCCCUUCGGGGAACAUGAAAACAGGUGCUGCACGGCUGUCGUCAGCUCGUGUCGUGAGAUGUUGGGUUAAGUCCCGCAACGAGCGCAACCCUCGUCACUAGUUACUAACGGUUCGGCCGAGGACUCUAGUGAGACUGCCUUCGUAAGGAGGAGGAAGGUGAGGACGACGUCAAGUCAUCAUGGCCCUUACGGCUAGGGCAACACACGUGCUACAAUGGUUGGGACAAUGAGACGCAAUACCGCGAGGUGGAGCAAAUCUAUAAACCCAAUCUCAGUUCGGAUUGUUCUCUGCAACUCGAGAACAUGAAGCUGGAAUCACUAGUAAUCGUAGAUCAGCUAUGCUACGGUGAAUACGUUCCCGGGUCUUGUACUCACCGCCCGUCACACCAUGGGAGUUGAUUUCACCCGAAGCGGGGAAGCUAACCUUCGGGGGGCUACCACUUACGGUGGAAUUAGCGACUGGGGUGAAGUCGUAACAAGGUAACC
RNAcentral lists this ribosomal RNA (1505 nucleotides) under uncultured bacterium. RNAcentral's name for it is "bacterial SSU rRNA". It matches the Rfam family "Bacterial small subunit ribosomal RNA". The record is from RNAcentral.